RNAcentral lists this long non-coding RNA (1480 nucleotides) under Marmota monax (woodchuck). The record is from RNAcentral. Lineage: Eukaryota; Metazoa; Chordata; Mammalia; Rodentia; Sciuridae.
AUCCUUAUUGCCAGCAUCACUACCCUAGUACUUUGGGGACUUUGUUAAAUAAAGCAAGAGUUACUUGGACACAAGCACUGCAAUAUCGUGACAGUCAAUCUGAUAACUGAAAGGGCUACUAAGUAACCACCGUGUGGGUAGCAUAUACCAUGUGGAUGCACUGGACAAAGGGAUGAUUCACAGUCCAUGCAAGAUGGAGCACGAUUUCACCAUGCUAUUCAGACACAUGUGACUGGAAACUUAUGAACUGUUUAUUUUUGAAAAUCUUCAUUCAUCAUUUCAGAACGUAGUUGACCUUGGGUAACCAAAACCUUGGAAAUCAGAACUGCAGGUGAAGGAGGACUACUGUAUAUUAACAGUAUUUAAAUUCCUCAGUUUGCCCCUGAGAUAUACACCAGGAAAGAGAUUGUGGACUGUGCUCCAAAAAGGAUUCCUAGGUCUUCCACUGCCUCUGCUCUGUUCAUAUGCUUGGAGAAGGAGUUGCUAAACGCCUUUAUGGAGUUUAUUGUGGCAAAAGAAAGCCACAAGUAUUUUGAGACUCACAGUCCUGCGUGUUGCUAGAGGUGGAAACUUGGCCUCACCUUUGCUUCUGAUAUUCCUGAAUCUGGGGAACAGUAACUCCAUGAACGCCAAGUUACACAGACAGAAAGACUCUGGCCUGGAGUAAAAUCUUCCCAGACCUGGGAUUCAAAUUCAGGAAGGCAGUGGGCACAGAGGCUGGAGAAGACACACCUGCCCGGAAAGACGGCCCUACUCACCUCCAACAACUGGUGUCACAGCCUCGUGAGCACCUUAAGUGACAUCUCGAGUGCAGAUUUCCACAAGAGCAUGCUCUGGGUGCCCUGUACCUGUGCCAUCUGCGUCAUCUACGCGAAGCUCACCACAGGGUACGCAGAGGCACCAGAAAAGCUCUGGGUUUUUAGGGAGGCGGAUGCACCCACCAUGCACCUUGAGAUUCAGCUCUAAGUUCUCUAGGGUUAUUGUCUUCAGGCACACAGAAGUUGGCGCAGUCUUACUGUAAGUAAUAGCCCCUGACGGGUGAGCCGCUCAUCCUGCAAAGGAUCGAAGGAAGGGUCCACAAAGCGGUAGAGGCAUCCCGUGAGAAUCCAGGCUGCAGGAAUGCAGGAGGCGGGGUCUGCAGCCAGCAGGAGGCCAGCUGAGAGGGUCUGCAAACAAGACCCUGGCUGGGGGAGCAGGAGCUGGUUGCAGAUAGAGCUUCCUGCAGCCAGGCUGCAGGCCGUCCCUGGCUCCACACUAAAGCAAGGGCAACACCGCGGCCAGCCAGCUCUGCACAUCUGGGUUCCAUGAAGAAAAUUAGGCACACACCCUGCAUGAGGCCCACAGCCAACCCAGUCACCCCCAUCCCAUCUCCACCGCCUGGAUCUCCCAGUCUCAGCCCCGGGGCGGCCACUCUGCCAGGGAGCUCUGAAAUGGCAGGUGCGUGCUGAUGACAAAGAGUCGGGCAGCACCCUCGGUGCCC